Molecule: non-coding RNA, 80 nt
Organism: Podarcis lilfordi (Lilford's wall lizard)
Lineage: Eukaryota; Metazoa; Chordata; Lepidosauria; Squamata; Lacertidae
Source: the annotation of a GenBank genome assembly
UGUGCAUGCACACUUCUUCAGAUACACAUCUGUAUCUGAAGAAACUGAGAGGAUUGUAUCUGAAGAAGUGUGCAUGCACA